CUCCUUACCAGUUGGUGGCGAUAAUGCACCAGCUCGUUGUUUGCCAACCGCCAAUAAACCCUAGAAGAAGAAGCGGAAACACGACUCCCGUACUCUAGUGGUCAAACACUGUAUUAGUUUCACUUUUGAGGAUCAGACUUUCUACCUGAAAAGUCCCUCAGACCCACACUGAAGGAGGGACUCGAGACAUUAUCAUCACAGAUGUCAGAGAUAUCAGAGAUGUGGGCUCUUUUGACCAGUAAACAACCACCCACUCAGAGCACACUAGCAUAGGUGGCUUUACAGAGCUGGAAAUGGAGCAGGAACGGAUAUCUUGAGCAGUCCUCAUGUAUUUGUGUCUGAUCUUUACCAUUAUUGGUGGAAACUUAAGAUGCAGAAGAUCCCGACGGCAGCAACAAUCAACAGAGAUCCAGCAGCAGCAGCAGCAGCAGAAAUCAACACUAUCAGAGAGACUGAGACUGGAGGAACUGAAGGAGAGGAAAAGAGAGACAGUCAUUAAUCAUUGGGGGAAUUGGUGAUCCUCUGCCCAUCUUGACUUCUGAGAGACACUGCCACUCUGAGAGGUUCUUUUUAUACCCUCAUUUUAUCAUGUUGCCAAUUGACCUAAUAAGUUUCAAAUUGGUCCUCCAGCUGUUCCUUAUAUGUACAUUUCAUUUUCCGGCCUCUUAUUGCUACCUGUCCCAACUUUUUUGGAACGUGUAGCUCUCAUGAAAUCCAAAAUGAGCCAAUAUUUGGCAUGACAUUUCAAAAUGUCUCACUUUCAACAUUUGAUAUGUUAUAUAGAUUCUAUUGUGAAUAAAAUAUAAGUUUAUGAGAUUUGUAAAUUAUUGCAUUCCUUUUUUAUUCACAAUUUGUACAGUGUCCCAACUUUUUUGGAAUCGGGUUUGUACAUUUUACAAACUUUUCUGGAAUUGGGGUUGUAGAAAAAUAUUGUAUGAAUUGUGUAUGAACUACAUUUCAUGGUGAAAUGAAGCAUAACUCUAGUGAUUUUAAAAUUGCUUAUUUAUUCUAAAUUUGGAAAAAAGUACACAGUUAACCCUCAUAUGGCCCUCAUUUCCCCUAUACUCUCAGGUUCUUUGGGGUCAAUUCGGACCCCACACAUUUACAGAGCAAUUGUGUAAAAAAUAUUUUUUUAAAAAUUAAUACAAAUGACUAUAUUAAUGAUGAUCAAAAUUCAAAAUUCAGUUAUUUCUGGAAAUUGAUCUAGGAUUUGCAUGCAGAAUUCUGCCAUCUGCUGGUUAGAAAAAAAAUGUUGGCACUGAAGUUUUAGAACUCAAAUGUUUUGACCAUAUAUAUCCAGCAGAGGGCCAUAGAGAGCCAUUCAUUUUUCUGGAUUUGGCCAACUCGUCAAACCAAAUGUAAAACAUUACUGACUUUAGAAUAAAAAAAUGUAAAUAAAUUCAAUAGCAAUAAGUAGAAAUGAACUGAAGUUGUGUGUGUGUUUUUGUGUGGAUGCAAAAGUGUGUGUGUGUGUGUGUACUUGUUUUGACUAUACUUGUAAGGAUCAAAUGUCCAUUUUUUUUACAACCCACUAGCGAGGACCCUGACUGGUCCUCACUCAUUAAAAAGGCUUAUAAAUCAGCCAAAGGAAGGUUUUUAUUUAAAUCUAGUGAUGUGCACAUGCUUCUGUGAUGGAUGGAAGAUUCAGCUUCAUUCACACAGAGCCAUUCAGAACGGUUUCCACUGUCACUUCCGGGGUUUUCUCAGGCCCAAAGGCCAGGGUUUUACUUUGGUCCAAAGUGGGCCAGCUCAGGCUUGAGGAUUGGCCAUGAACAGAGGUGGAAUUUACCUGAGUCAGGUGAUGGUCAGCACCGCUGCAUAGCUUCCUUGUGAUCCGAUGGGGAUUCUGAUCACCGUAUGAGGCAGAAAUAGACUUAUAUGCAAUGCUAAAGGCCACUUAUGCUAAUCAUCAUGAUGAAUACACACGUAUAUGGAAAAUACCAGAAACUGCUUGAGGAACAUAGACAACUCAUAUAUUAUUAUAAUGGUGUAUUUAUUUGAUUUAAUGUUGUAUCUGUCUCUUUCUUGUGCGUUUGUUGAUACCGACUAAUACAUCCGCAUAUCUGUCACACACUCCGGUUAACUCGUAUAACUCAUAACUCCUGUUUUCUUCUCAUGAGCUCCCUCUGUUGCUCUGGCUGAAAGGACAACAGUAUAGAGAGACAGAGAGAUCGCUCAAACCUCCUCAGAUUGCAAUCAUCGCAUAAUUUCAAGGAAAAUUAAUAGAAAUGUUAAAGGUGCUGUAAGUAUUAUUUUAACAACGCUGUUAGACAUUGUUGAUAUUUGAAAUCAACCCAAACAAACCCACCCCUCUCUUCAUUGCUCCGCCUCCAAAACUCAGUCUUAAAGGAACACUCCACUUUUUUUGAAAAUAGACUCAUUUUCCAACUCCCCUAGAGUUAAACAGUUGAGUUUUACUGUUUUCGAAUCCAUUCAGCCGAUCUCCGGGUCUUGCGGUACCACUUUUAGCAUAGCUUAGCAUAGUUCAUUGAAUCUGAUUAGACCGUUAGCAUCUCGCUUAAAAAUGACCAAAGAGUUUCUAUAUUUUUCCUAUUUAAAACUUGACUCUUCUGUAGUUACAUCGUGUACUAAGACUGACGGAAAAUGAAAAGUCGCGAUUUUCUAGGCCAAUAUGGCUAGGAACUAUAUAGGAACUAGCAAAGUUACUUGAUUAUUACGCCGGAAUGAGAGUAUAUUUCCUAGCCAUAUCGGCCUAGAAAAUCGCAACUUUUCAUUUUCAGGAGCAUGCCCACAUGUUGUUGUGAGUGCAUACAGGCACGUGGGGUCCGUACACACUACGAGUUGCUGUAAUGAACUUCAUGCAAGUUGGAUCAGCCAACUGCAUUUUUAAAGUAACUUCCAAAAACAAUGUUGACAGUAACAGACACAAACUUUUCUAUUAGAAGGUGCUAUUUCCUCCAAUAAAUGCUCCAGGGGGCAUUUUACUCAAACCUUAUUAAAUAUGCAUCAUCUAUUAAAAAAAUCAAAAAGUUUUAAAGGUUACCACAAGUUACCACAUGUUUUAGGGCUAGACGAUAUAUUUAACAUUGAUAUAAGUCUUCACUCCUAUUUAGACCUACCUAUAUUGUAGUUAUAUAAAGUGUUCAGAGGCAGAUUUGCUUUAUGUAUUUCCCCGGCGUGGAAAGCAGGCACAUAUGUCAGGAAACACGAUUCCUGGCUGCAUGUCAAGAUCCAUGGAUUAUGUUUCUUUGAUAUGUUAUAAGGAACAUUUUCGAGCCCAACCUUUAAUGUAAUAGUUUGUUUUACUCGCGUUUUCACAUUUUCCCCUAUUAAAUCCACAAUGCGUUCCAAACGGGUUAUAUCGCCCUCCGAAGGGCACUUUGGAGUGAACAUAAUCAUGGCCGCCAUAUUGAAGGGUCGUUCCAAACCGAAGUGCCCAAAACUGGCCACUUCAAAGAGCCCUUCUGAAUGAAGGAUUUCGAAGGGAACAACUGAUGGACACUUCGGGCCCCCAUGAUCCUUUGCACAGGGAAGUUGUUUGACGUCACAGAAUGGGUACAGGAGGCUUGGAGUUCGAUUUUACCUAUAAAUGUAUGUAUAGUAUUUUUCUAUACUACUGUAAUAUUUAUACGAGUUAGAUUUGGCACAUAAUUAUGGUCAAAACGACAUUGUACUUAAACAAAAAUACUUUAAAGCUCCCUUUAUCAGUCCAUUUAAAUGUUUAAAAUACAUAGACACAAUAUACAAUAUGGUGAUAAACCAAAAAUAAAAUUAAAUAAUGAAAUAAACUAACAUUAAACAAAGGGCGCAUCUUGCACAAUCUACUCCUCCUUGAUUGUCUCGUUAAGAUGACACAGAAGUGUGUUCCAAAAAUAGAGUUUUUUUGACCCCUACACCCUUCAUCCCUUCGAAGCUCUCACUCCGGAGGGUAAACCCUUUUAAGGGAUUAGGGCAUAGGGAUGAGUACUUCCGAAUGGAACGCAAUGCCAGUCAUGCUGCAGGUUCUUUUGCCACUCAGUCCAGCUGAGGGAGCGUGUUCCAUCGGGAAAGUGACGUCGAUGCAUACCCUCCUUGCAAAGGCAAACCUCUCGCGUUUCAGGGGAGCUCCAAGAUGGCGCCAUGGAUGGUCUUGAUUCUCUAAGCUGAGAAACAAAUCGGGUUUUCUCACAAAUGAUUAUAUAAAUUUCAUGAAGUUGCUAACUAUUAUCUAAAGGUUGCUACUGACUGUUGAAUUUAAGUAAAUAUUGACCUUGGAGCAUCGACAAGGAUUUUAAAUCACAAAAUCAACCGUUUCGCUGUACAGUUCAAAAACAUGGAUGAGGAUCUUGGCGCAGAGAUGGAGAUUGACACUACGAAAGAGAAGAGAAAUUUUAACGAUACUCACUCGUAUGCCUGUAAAGUAAAAAACGGAGGAAUUUGUGAUUCUUGUCCAAAUACAAGCAAAAAUCAACCUCCCAAAAGGCAAAAAAGUGUUGUCGUCUCAUCUAACAAACAAAGUGAACUGUCUUUGAGUGACGUGCAGGAGAAUAUCAUCCGAAUUCUCUCUGAAAAGAUUAAUGAGAGAUCCGACCAGAUUGAAAGAAUGGUUUAGGAGAAUUCUUCCAACAUUGAGGCCUUGGGCAAAUCUCUUACCUCAGUUCAUGAUGA
Molecule: long non-coding RNA, 4608 nt
Organism: Ctenopharyngodon idella (grass carp)
Lineage: Eukaryota; Metazoa; Chordata; Actinopteri; Cypriniformes; Xenocyprididae
Exons: 5
Source: RefSeq, a predicted model, not a curated record